UCCCCGUUACCGGGGCAGUCUAGCUAGAGAAAUUCAACUAACUAUAAGGGUUGCGCUCGUUGAUGGACUUAACCAAACAUCUCACGACACGAGCUGACGACGGCCAUGCAACACCUGUCACCAAGUUCCCGAAGGCACUCUCGCGUUUCUGCGAGAUUCUUGGGAUGUCAAACCCUGGUAAGGUUCUACGCUUACCAUCGUAUUAAACAACACGCUCCACCGCUUGUGCGGGUCCCCGUCAAUUCCUUUAUGUUUUAGUCUUGCGACCGUACUCCACAGGCGGGAUGCUUAACGCGUUAGCUUCGCUACUACCAGGGUCGAUACUGAUAACAGCUAGCAUCCAUAGUUUACGGCGUGGACUAC
This 363-nucleotide unclassified non-coding RNA is filed under the name uncultured bacterium. RNAcentral's name for it is "contains 16S-23S intergenic spacer region". The record is from RNAcentral.